Molecule: transfer RNA, 76 nt
Filed under: Citrobacter freundii
Lineage: Bacteria; Pseudomonadati; Pseudomonadota; Gammaproteobacteria; Enterobacterales; Enterobacteriaceae
Description: tRNA-OTHER
Rfam family: tRNA
About the family: Transfer RNA (tRNA) molecules are approximately 80 nucleotides in length. Their secondary structure includes four short double-helical elements and three loops (D, anti-codon, and T loops). Further hydrogen bonds mediate the characteristic L-shaped molecular structure. tRNAs have two regions of fundamental functional importance: the anti-codon, which is responsible for specific mRNA codon recognition, and the 3' end, to which the tRNAs corresponding amino acid is attached (by aminoacyl-tRNA synthetases). tRNAs cope with the degeneracy of the genetic code in two manners: having more than one tRNA (with a specific anti-codon) for a particular amino acid; and 'wobble' base-pairing, i.e. permitting non-standard base-pairing at the 3rd anti-codon position.
Source: RNAcentral
GGGUGAUUAGCUCAGCUGGGAGGGGCGCUUCCUUACAAGGAGGGGGUCGGCGGUUCGAUCCCGUCAUCACCCACCA